This 519-nucleotide ribosomal RNA is filed under the name uncultured bacterium. Its description in RNAcentral is "bacterial SSU rRNA". It matches the Rfam family "Bacterial small subunit ribosomal RNA", at positions 391 to 903 of the family's 1533-position model. The record is from RNAcentral.
GCAAUGCCGCGUGUGUGAAGAAGGCCUUCGGGUUGUAAAGCACUUUUGUCAGGAACGAAACGGUGGGGGCUAAUAUCCUCUGCUAAUGACGGUACCUGAAGAAUAAGCACCGGCUAACUACGUGCCAGCAGCCGCGGUAAUACGUAGGGUGCGAGCGUUAAUCGGAAUUACUGGGCGUAAAGCGUGCGCAGGCGGUUGUGCAAGACAGAUGUGAAAUCCCCGGGCUUAACCUGGGAAUUGCAUUUGUGACUGCACGGCUAGAGUGUGUCAGAGGGGGGUAGAAUUCCACGUGUAGCAGUGAAAUGCGUAGAUAUGUGGAGGAAUACCGAUGGCGAAGGCAGCCCCCUGGGAUAACACUGACGCUCAUGCACGAAAGCGUGGGGAGCAAACAGGAUUAGAUACCCUGGUAGUCCACGCCCUAAACGAUGUCUACUAGUUGUCGGGUCUUAAUUGACUUGGUAACGCAGCUAACGCGUGAAGUAGACCGACUGGGGAGUACGGUCGCAAGAUUAAAACUCA